GGGAACGUCUGCUGGAGCCUUCGCGUUCUCCGUUUGGCUCCGGCUGUUCCCACCUCGCGCAGAACCUCCUCGAAGAGCUCUCGGCCGCUUCGUUCUCUCCAAUCCGCGGUGUGGCUUUCCGGGGCCUCUCUCCCUUAUGUUAAAACAACAACAACCCUCCAGCGCUCCCCAGUCCUCGCGGAAGGAGUGACACCGUCCUAGAUGCCACAGAUCGGUCCCUGUCAGCCUUCUGCCCGGGUGUGGUCUUCACACUCGCCACUCCUCUGCCUGGAUCAAUCCCCCCACCCUGCACCUCUUACCUUUUU
This is a long non-coding RNA of Myotis lucifugus (little brown bat), 305 nucleotides long. RefSeq lists it as uncharacterized. The transcript has 2 exons. Lineage: Eukaryota; Metazoa; Chordata; Mammalia; Chiroptera; Vespertilionidae. The record is from RefSeq and is a predicted model, not a curated record.